CAAGAGCGUAUAUUAAAGUUGUUGCAGUUAAAAGCUCGUAGUUGGAUUUCUGGUACAACGCGCCUGGCCCGCUUUUGUGAGUGCCGGUGCGCGUUUGCCAUCCUUCUAGAAAACGUUUCUACCCGGGUAACUGGGCCGGACUCGCGAUCUAGAUCUUUUACUUUGAAAAAUUAGAGUGUUUAAAGCAGGCUUUUGCUGUGAAUACAUUAGCAUGGAAUAAUGAUCUAGGACUUCGGUUCUAUUUUGUUGGUUUCUAGUACUGAAGUAAUGAUUGAUAGGGAUAGUUGGGGGUGGCUAGUAUUGGCCGGCCAGAGGUUGAAACUUCUUGGGACUUCGGGUCAAAUGA
RNAcentral lists this ribosomal RNA (346 nucleotides) under uncultured eukaryote. Its description in RNAcentral is "SSU rRNA". It matches the Rfam family "Eukaryotic small subunit ribosomal RNA", at positions 592 to 942 of the family's 1831-position model. The record is from RNAcentral.